UGCCCUUCGUGAGUACAAUAGCAGGGCCU
Molecule: non-coding RNA, 29 nt
Filed under: Rattus norvegicus (Norway rat)
Lineage: Eukaryota; Metazoa; Chordata; Mammalia; Rodentia; Muridae
Source: RNAcentral